CCAAAAUCUUGUAUGAUGUAUUGC
Molecule: non-coding RNA, 24 nt
Filed under: Arabidopsis thaliana (thale cress)
Lineage: Eukaryota; Viridiplantae; Streptophyta; Magnoliopsida; Brassicales; Brassicaceae
Source: RNAcentral